This 289-nucleotide long non-coding RNA is filed under the name Oryza brachyantha (malo sina). Its description in RNAcentral is "long non-coding RNA (OBRA_LNC003448)". The record is from RNAcentral. Lineage: Eukaryota; Viridiplantae; Streptophyta; Magnoliopsida; Poales; Poaceae.
AGGCGAGGUCCGCGUCAACUGCAGGAAAGUGAACUACUACUAGAGCAAGAUGCAUGGCCGGAUGCUUAAUCAAAUGAGUCCUAAAAUUCAUAUUUUCUCUUGUUGUUGAUUGUGGCUUAGCUCUUUUAAUUCAUUUUGUGUGAAUGGGAUUUGUAAGUACAGUACUCAAUGUAUUUCAAUGCUCUGGUGUUCUACGAUUUCCGUUUCCUCUUGUAAUAGCGACAAUUUCAAAAUUUAAAUGCGCUCAGUUUUUGUAUGCACAGCUGACAUUCUCAUGGAAAAACGAGGG